This 208-nucleotide small nucleolar RNA is filed under the name Dendroctonus ponderosae (mountain pine beetle). Its description in RNAcentral is "small nucleolar RNA U3". It matches the Rfam family "Small nucleolar RNA U3". Rfam says of the family: Small nucleolar RNAs (snoRNAs) are involved in the processing and modification of rRNA in the nucleolus. There are two main classes of snoRNAs: the box C/D class, and the box H/ACA class. U3 snoRNA is a member of the box C/D class. The record is from RNAcentral. Lineage: Eukaryota; Metazoa; Arthropoda; Insecta; Coleoptera; Curculionidae.
AAGAUCAUACUUCACAGGAUCAUUUCUGUAGUAUAUCUUCACAUACUCUCUUCUCACAAGAUGAGUUUUCGCAACCAUGAGGAUGAGACACAGUCUCAUUUCCUGAGCGUGAGAAAUUGCUCAGAUCUAUCUCAUGAUUAAUCUGUGGCCUUCGAUGAUCGUUCGACCUGUCUUGGACGGGGUGUGGAAAUGAGUCAGUCUGAGUGGU